CGGAGACGCGUAGAGGAGCGCGCCCCCCGGCCGCUGCCGCCCCUGGCCCGUGCCGUCACCCCGCUUCUCCGCGCCUCGGACGGUACCCAGCUAGCUCCUGGCGCCGCGCUGCUGCGCGGACCUGCCCUCCCGACACCUCCCGGGACCGGGGACCCCCCCAGGCCGCUCGCCCGCUGCCCGCCGGCCGCACACGUCCCAGGAGCCGGGCCUAGGGCGGGAGGCAGCGGCGGCUCGGCGCGAUCCGGCUGCGCUCUGCGGCGUCCCCAUGGCAGCGGCCGGCUGGCGGGACGGCUCCAGCCAGGAGAAGUACCUGCUCGUGGUGGUCGGCGGGGGCGGCGUGGGCAAGUCGGCGCUCAUCAUCCAGUUCAACCAGUCCUAUUUUGUAAAGGAUUAUGAUCCAACCAUUGAAGAUUCUUACACAAAGCAGUGUGUGAUAGAUGACAGAGCAGCACGGCUAGAUAUUUUGGAUACAGCAGGACAAGAAGAGUUUGGAGCCAUGAGAGAACAAUGUAUGAGGACUGGCGAGGGCUUCCUGUUGGUCUUUUCAGUCACAAAUAGAGGCAGUUUUGAAGAAAUCUAUAAGUUUCAAAGACAGAUUCUCAGAGUAAAGGGUCGUGAUGAGUUUCCAAUGAUUUUAAUUGGCAAUAAAGCAGAUCUGGAUCAUCAAAGACAGGUAACACAGGAAGAAGGACAGCAGUUAGCGCGGCAACUUAAGGUAACAUAUAUGGAGGCAUCAGCAAAGAUUGGGAUGAAUGUAGAGCAAGCUUUCCAUGAACUUGUCCGGCUUAUCAGGAAAUUUCAAGAGCAGGAAUGUCUUCCUUCAUCAGAAAAAGGCAAGAAAGGCUGCCAUUGUGUCAUUUUCUAGAAUCCUUUCCAUCUUAGCUACCGACUGCCAGGAAAAGCCCUCAUCUUCUCCUCCUCUCCUCAGUUUACAUCUUGUUUGGUGCCUUUCUAGCCUUAGACAAAUGAUCACCAUGUUAGCCUUAGACCAAGAAGCUGGCUAGUCCUUUCAGUGAAGCUAAUACAAUGGUCACUGCCAGACAAAUUUAAAGGAAACACUAAGGCUGCUUCAAAGACUAUCUGAUUCCUUUAAAAUAUGUGUCUAUAUACACAGACACGCUCUUUUUUUAAGUGCUUCCAUGUUAAUAGAGAUGAAUCAGUUUUGGAAUCUAAGCUGUUUGCCAAGCUGAAGCCACAGGUUGUGAAAUAAUUUUUAACUUUUGGAAUCAUACUGCCUACUGUUACUCUAAAUAGAAAUAUAGGGAUUUUUUUUAAAUGUGAAUUUUUGCUUAUCUUUGAAAAUUUCAAUGUCAGCCUUUGUUAACCUUAAAUACACUGAAUUGAAUCUACAAAAGUGAAACAUCUCAGAUCUUGACUGAUAUUGCAACUUUUGUUUUCUGGUGGCCAAAAUACCAAAAUGCCUAUUGACUUUAUGGAUUAAAAACUGUUUAUAAAAGCCUGUGUUAUUGCUCCUGCUCUUGAGGAUGAUAAUAUUCUACAUGGUCAAAUAUUUGGACUCAUUCGGGACUUAAGACAUUUCAGUGUACUUGAUUUUUUUUUUUUUUUUUCACUUCGGAAGUCCUUUAUUGGGCCGGCAGGGCCAGGAGCUGCCCUCCAAGUGGGGUUCCAGUCUGGAGACUUCAGGUUGGUGGCAGACCUGGUGGUUCUGGCCGGGGCAGGCGGCCCCUGCUGACUUGCUACGUGGUGCGUGCCUUCACCUACUCCCAGCCCUCCUUGGAGUACUCGCGGGCCGUGGAAGGAGUCACUGACAGAGCUGACAUCACCGUGAUGAUGCCUGCAUUCCAGGAGUCAUGGAUGGUAAAGUGAAUCUUUGGAGGGGCUGGGAGCUGGGGUAUCUGCAGGCCUGUCUGCUGACGAGGUACCAGCUGAACUGGUACAUGGCGGGAGGGACCACCUCCCCAGCCUUUUGUAGGGCUGUCCGGCUCUUGUCACUGGGCCCCAGCAGCUCCUGGUAGAUGGUGCCUCCAGCCACACUUCCCUUGAUGAGGAACCUCAUCAGCGGCCACACCCGGGCCACCAUGGUCGCUCGGAUCCAAGGGCAAAGACACUCGACUCGCCUGCUGCUUCUGGCCCUUGAUUUUUUAAAACUCUUUUUUUUCACAGCCAUGCUAAGGGUAAAAAUGAAUAAUUUCUGUCUUCCUUUUCAAGUAUUUCUGAAUAAGGGAUUCAAAAACUAAAACUGUUUUUGUUUGAUGUAAUAUAAAAUAUGGAAUUGAGCUUUCUCGGUCAGAGAUGAUUAAUGUUUUUGCUAUACACUUUUAUACUUUUUUUAUCAAAUUAGUUAAUUAUUUUUAUAUGUUUGUAAGCAGAUAUGCUUUCACAGCAUACCUUGUGUAUAUAUAAAGAUAAACAUUGAAUUCUCACUGUUCACCUUUAACUGACAAAGAAAGACAAGUGAAAACUACAGAAGCUGUGGUAGAACUUUUACUUGCUGGUCUGGUCUUGGUUGUACCCAUCUUUGGCCAGUCAUGUGUCUACUCAAGAAACCUUCCCAAUAGAGUACAACAGGGUGAGACUCUAAAAUCGCUUUCAAAAACCAAAACUGUUUUUUUUUUUUUUAUGUAAUAUAAACAUGGAAUUGAGCUUUCUGGGGUCAGAGAUGAUUCAUGUUUUUGCUAUAUACUUUUUUUUAUCAAACUAGUUAACAAGUAUUUUUAUAUGUUUGUAAGCAGAUAAGCUUUCACAGCAUACCUUGUGUAUUUGCAAAGAUAAGCAUUUAAUUCUAGCUGUUGACUUUUAUCUGACAAAGGAAAACAAGUAGAAACUACAGAAACUGUGGUAGAACUUUUACUUGCUGGUCUGGUCUUUGCUAUACCCAUUUUUGGCCAGUCACGUGUCACCUUCCCAAUAGAGUACAACAGGAUGAGACUCUGAAAUCGCUUUCAAUAUUCCCUGCUAGACAUUGAUUGUUAUAUAAAGUUUUAAGUGUAAGCUUUUAAUGGAGAAUUAAAUCUGAUUUUGUUUUUAA
Molecule: RNA transcript, 2989 nt
Organism: Sapajus apella (tufted capuchin)
Lineage: Eukaryota; Metazoa; Chordata; Mammalia; Primates; Cebidae
Gene name: ras-related protein R-Ras2 pseudogene
Exons: 1
Source: RefSeq, a predicted model, not a curated record